Molecule: ribosomal RNA, 252 nt
Filed under: uncultured bacterium
Lineage: Bacteria
Description: partial 16S ribosomal RNA
Rfam family: Bacterial small subunit ribosomal RNA
Source: RNAcentral
UACGGGGGGUGCGAGCGUUGUCCGGAUUCACUGGGCGUAAAGGGCGCGUAGGCGGCCUGGUCAGUCGGACCUUUAAGAGCGGGGCUCACCCCUGUGGUGGGUUCGGGACGGCCGGGCUGGGGCGCGGCAGAGGGGGACGGAAUGCCGGGUGUAGUGGUGAAAUGCGUAGAGAUCCGGCGGAACACCGGUGGUGAAGACGGUCCCCUGGGCCGAGGCCGACGCUGAGGCGCGAGAGCGCGGGGAGCGAACCGG